This 672-nucleotide ribosomal RNA is filed under the name Phellinus ferrugineovelutinus. RNAcentral describes it as "eukaryotic LSU rRNA". The stretch from base 260 to 413 matches the Rfam family "5.8S ribosomal RNA". Lineage: Eukaryota; Fungi; Basidiomycota; Agaricomycetes; Hymenochaetales; Hymenochaetaceae. The record is from RNAcentral.
CGCAGCGACUGCGGAGGACAUUAUCGAGUUUUGAAAGUGGGCUUUGAUGCUGGCGCCUUUGCGGUGCAUGUGCUCGGGCCCCGCUCAUCCACUCAACCCCUGUGCACUUUUUCGAAGUUUGUUUGUCGGUCCCCCCUGUAACAGGGGAGAAGUUGAAGAGAGAUCUUUAGCCGGGGUCGUCGACGUUCUUCGUUCAUUAACAAACCACUAUUAUUGUCUUGUAGAAUGUAAAGCCUCUUUGUUGGGCGAAACUUAAUACAACUUUCAACAACGGAUCUCUUGGCUCUCGCAUCGAUGAAGAACGCAGCGAAAUGCGAUAAGUAAUGUGAAUUGCAGAAUUCAGUGAAUCAUCGAAUCUUUGAACGCACCUUGCGCUCCUUGGUAUUCCGAGGAGCAUGCCUGUUUGAGUGUCAUGUUAAUAUCAAUCUCUUCGCCUUUUGUGGGUGUUGAGUUUGGAGUUGGAGGCUUUGCUGGCUUUGCGGUCGGCUCCUCUAGAAUGUAUUAGCUGGGCUUUCGCUCGAUGCAACGGUGUGAUAGUAUUAUUCGCCGGAGUAACUUGCGAUAUGGGUCUGCUUCUAAUCGUCUUCGGACAAAUAUGGGGUGUUUACACGCUCCUUUGACUUUUGACCUCAAAUCAGGUAGGACUACCCGCUGAACUUAAGCAUAUCAUAA